UGAGAAAAGCAGAAGUGAGAACUUCUCGCCUUGCGACUAAACGUUGUCUGGCUCUACAUAUCAAGUUUCAGUAAUGAAAUAUAUUGUAGUGCGGAUUUGUGAAUCAAGUCCGCUUUCGUUUUUCUCU
Molecule: regulatory RNA element, 127 nt
Organism: Streptococcus sp.
Lineage: Bacteria; Bacillati; Bacillota; Bacilli; Lactobacillales; Streptococcaceae
Rfam family: Ribosomal protein L20 leader
About the family: This family is a putative r-protein leader autoregulatory structure found in B. subtilis and other low-GC Gram-positive bacteria. It is located in the 5' untranslated regions of mRNAs encoding initiation factor 3 followed by ribosomal proteins L35 and L20 (infC-rpmI-rplT).
Source: Rfam